Molecule: long non-coding RNA, 5738 nt
Organism: Python bivittatus (Burmese python)
Lineage: Eukaryota; Metazoa; Chordata; Lepidosauria; Squamata; Pythonidae
Source: RefSeq, a predicted model, not a curated record
ACUUGCGCCCGCCGGCCCGCCGUUCUGAAAGUAGAUGUUUCCAGGUCUCAAAUCCAUCUUGAUUACAAGGAGUGCCUUAUCCCAGAGGAUAUAGAGUUGUUUUGAGGGCUUAAUUUCCUGGAAUAAUAGGCACAAGGCACAAGACUCUGAAAUAUAGUGUCUGGUGUUUGACCUGAGCAAGGAACAACCCAUAGGGAAGAGAUUCUUCUAACAAUGGUAAUGCUGUUGGGCAGGUUCCAGCAUGCAAGGCUGACUGGAAUCAGUACGGUCCAGAGUAGGAGUUCUACUUCAAAACAUAUAGAAGUUACCACUUACUUUGUGCUAAGAGAGCUGAUGGGAAUAGACAACAUUAUAAGAAAAGCCUAUUUAAAUGAUAUGAGGAGAUCCAUUAUCAAAAUCAGAGGAGAAGAUGGAUGGAGAAACAUAUCCAUAUCAGAAUAUAUCUUCAUGGAAAACUGGCUGAGCCACCACCGUCACAGGGAAAAUGGACCUUACAUCCAGAGAUUUUUUACAAAGGCUUAGCAAGAUGGGGAUGCCUCUUUGUUAACUUGUUCACAACAGCAUACAACAAGUGAAGGACAUCACCGUAUGGAGUCAUGACUGAAAGGCACGAGUACCUUUUUCAGCACUAUCCAAGAUAGCGUACAAGAUAAGGUACUCAAGUCAUGGGUGAUUCUAAUCAUCUCAUCCUGGACCAGUGAACUGUGGUUCUCUACCCUAGUGUACUGUAGGUAAGAAGACACCUGCGGAACCUCCCCAAAUACCUGGAUAUCCUGUCUCAAAGUCUGCAUCUAGAUAUUGAAUUGAGCAUUUCUUGAACACAGAUGUUUCAGAUUCAGCAGUAGAGGCCAGGCUCUAUCAGUUGACUUGAUAUGCUUUUGGACAGGAAUGCAAAAAGCAGACAUUUUUGGCAUCAGCAACAGGAGUCCCCGAACUAUUGGGCUUCUUGCCUGCCUGCAUGGUCAUCCAGCUGCUUUAGAACUCAUGCUGCUUGAAAGCCAAGAGGCACUGCACUUUUUUUCCACCUGAUUCUAUUGUUCCCUACAUGGAUUUAUUAUUGGCACUCAGGAAACUAAUGACUGCCCCCUUCAAUCCCAUCUGACAGAUUCCCAUUAACAUUCUUUCCUAGAAGAUUGCUUUCUUGAUAGUCCUACAGAGCAACUAAGGGUUGGGGAUCUAAGGAUGUUCUUGGGGGAUAGAUGUUGCACUAAAACCAUGUAGUCUAGAGCCAGAUCCCCACAUUAUAUCCAGGGCAAUUCCAAAUCCCAUUGAUCCUAAGAAAUUGUGCGUCACACUGAUAACUAUUUUAAGAUAUUGCAAUCAGUCAGGAGGGUAGAGCCAUUGUGAAAUAAGAUUCUCAAAAGAUUUUUUCUUCAUCUUAAUUAAUAUUCAGAUUUUGCAAUCUAAACAAAUUAUUACCUCUCCCCUGGAAAAAAUAUUUUGUGCUUUCCUCUUCUUAAAAAAUAAGCAUUUAAUAGCAAAGCAAGAAGGGAUAAAUCUGGUUUUAUUCUUUUCCUGUAUUUAUCCCAGAGAGUCAAUACAUAGCUUAUUAUUGCAUGAACUUUUAUAAAUUGUUUGGGUUUUUUGCCUCAAAUCAGAAAUAUUUGUGCAAAUCAUCUGAAAAUCCUGCUCUUCUGUAGAAGUGGCUAGGCCAUGAGGAGAUACAAUCCACUCGGUAAUCCAUGUUGAACAACUGGCAUGGUAAUACAGUUUAAAAUUAGGAACAACCAGUUCACCACACCCUUCUGAAUCCUAUAGAAUCUUUAAUUUAAUCCUUGGUCUUUUAUUGGACCAUAUAUAGCUUAUUAAUUGUUUAUGUCAGUAAUUUAAUACCUUGUUUUCAAUAUGUAUUGGGAUCAUUAGGAACAUAGAGUUAGGUUUUGGUAAAAUAUUUAUUUUAAUGGAUUCAAAUCUUCCUAGAUAAGACAAUUUUUCUUUUUUCUUUUUUUCCAUCUGGAAAUGUCUGCUGUUACAUUUUUUCAGAUCUGCAAAUAAUUAUUUUUAAAUAAGUCAUUACUGGUUUUUGUGAAAUUUCAAUUGUGAAAUUUCCUAAAGAAAUUAUUUUUGUUGCAAUAAUCUCAACCCCUGUUAUUAGGCAUUGCUUUUCUUUCUCUGAUAAGUUCCAUGCCAACAUUUGGGUUUUAAUUUUAUUAAUCUGGUAACCUGACGAAGAAUUCUACUGCUGUAUAUAUUCCAUUAACAGUACUAAAGAAUCUUUUGGCUGGUUAAUGUGAGUACAUCAACAGUAUAUAAUUUCCAUUUGUGUUCUUGAAUUGCUAGUUUAUCUUCUGAAAUUAUAUUUUCUUGACAUAUUUUCAUUGCCAAUGGCUCUAAUGCCAAUAAAGAAGAUGCACUGUUAUAAUAGGGAUCCAUUUACUGUCAUCUUGGCUUUGUGUUAUUUAUAAUUACUCUGCAUUCAUGUGAAAAAAAGUAGGGCCACAAUGUAUCAUUUUCAAAAUUGCUGGCAUAGACGACCAUUCUAAAUUAUCAAAAGCUUUUUCUGCAUCAAGAAAAAUCAUAGCCAUUUUCAUGCUUCUCUGGUUUAUCUUGUUGAUAACACAUAAAUACACCUGAUAUUGUCUCUCAUAUAUUUCUUUGGAACAGAUCAAAUCUGAUUAGGGUAUAUAAAUUGAGUUAAAAAUUGAUUUAUCAUCUUUGUAUUGCUGUAAAAAUCUUAUAAUCUAUAUUCAAUUAAGAAAAAGGUCUGUAUGAUUCUGGAUAGGUCCAGUGAUUUCCUUCUUUAUAAAUCAGAGAUAAAGGCUUCUUUCCAUGACAGAAGUUCUUCAUAUCAUUAUUUGAGCUACAGGUUUUACCAUAAUUUCUUGGAGAGUCUUAUAAUAAGUAAAUGUUUGAUUCUGCUCAGUAUGUUUUUAAUUAUAGUAAUCAAAUUGGUACUUUGGUAUUCAGGAAAUCUGUACAUCACUACCUGGGUCUUCAGUGAGAUGCUCAGGAGCCAUACUGUUCCCAUCAAACCAUUCCUUGGUAUGUGCCAAGUUCCCAGGCCGUAUCUAUUUUGUUGUUGUUGUUUAGAUUCUUCUAAUAAUUAAAAAGUGAAUGGAAUGCUAGCAUGCUGGAAAAAGUAUGAGCCUUCAGCAUAUUGUAAUUUGUAUUUUCAAUAAUGUCUUAGCCCCUUAUAGACUUCAAAAAAACCUUCAUGCAAGUAGUGGAUGAAUACAGCCGAGUUUUACUUGCUUUCUGAUACACAGACCUUCUGUCUCUUGCUGAACUCAUUAUGAAGCCAUUUUGUGAGAUUGCCUAACAUAUUCUCAGUAUUUAUAUUAUUAUGCAUAUAAUUUUAUGUUGAUUUUAAUCUUAUUAGUGCUUGGAGGCCUGUAGGCCACUUGGAAUCAGAUAUGAUAAGAGUGACAAGCAAGCCUAAUACAAGAAAUAAAUGAGUAAGAGCAGAGAUAUAAGCUUUAUUGUGCCAAGCACAAGGGAGUAAUAAAGUAAGACACACUACUGAUUAAAUUGCAAUUAUCUCAGCAGAUACAAGACCAUUCCACAGAAAGGGUGUUCUUGUAUCUCUUUUCACUCACCAUUGUUAAUGUAAAUUUUCUUUUAUGUGCAGCAGAGAUGGUGCUGUAGAAACCUGGCCUAAAACCAGCUUGUUCAAUACUACGUGUUUUUUUUUUUGGUAUCUUCUAAUCCAUUACUUUCACAUAAAGAAGCUUAGUAUAUAGUUUAUUUAUUGUCCUGGAUAUCAUUAGACCAUCUUAUUUCUCUCUCAUCCUUUUCUCGCCACUGUUCUGUUGGUGGAAUAAAGGGUGAUCUGGUGGGUUUCUAUCUGGUUGGGCCUGGGGAGGUUGGAUGAUGCCACAUCACUUUUCUAUCCUGGAGCUGGCUGCUGAAGAAUCACUACUGCUGGCAGCAUCUUGCCCCCACAGCCUCUUUCUCAUGGCUUUCUUUCUUACCCAUGCAGCUGCUUGAAAAGCUCUUAAUCUUUCUGCUCCAAUCGGGGGGGGGGGCAGUGCACCAGAAGCUCUAGCUGUUUUGAGCUCUGCUGUUGCUUACCUCCUUCCAGUUAGCUGAUCAGACUCUUCCCCUGGUCCUUUGGCUGCUCUCUUAGCAUAUCCACUUAGCCCUUUUGAUUUUGGCCUCCCAACAGCAUGCCAAUCAGCUGGCACAGAAUGCCAGGACACAUUUUCAUGCAGUUGUUGAUCGUCUUUCUUCGUUUCUUGGCUCCCAAAAUAGACCUGACGGGAAAGCUGAAAGCAGGGUGUAGGAGUGAAGGGAGAGAUUUUCUUCCACAAAUAUGUAGUCCUAAGCCCUGACUGCUAACAGAAGAGGCACUGUUAACUCUUUCCUGUCAGCUCCAUCUCUUAUCUCCAGUGAUUGAGAAUACAACCAUUUUAUUGCACUCUUGUUAUACAAUGCAUUUCAGACAUAGCAUAAAACAUCCACAGAGUAACAGACUGAAAUGCUAUAUUUCAUAUGCUGACAGCAGCAAGAAUCACAACACUGGAAAGGAGAAACAACACAAGGUUAGAAGACCAAAAUCUACGGCAAUGGAAAAAAUGAUUGUAUAUAUUCGUAACUGAUGUCUAACCAAAGUCAAGCAGGCUCCCUCAUAUACAACAUACUGCACAACAAGGCAAGAUCUUAAUGUAAGUUUUAUAAAAAAAAAACCUUUAGUUUAAAAACUAAAUUGAAAAUUAAUUAAACAGAAAAACUAAUUAAACAGAUCUAAAUAGAAAUGAGUUACAAGUGUAGAAGUUUAAAGCCUAGUAUAAAAAUACUUAAGUACCAGUUAGAAGUUGGGGGGGAAGAAAAGAAUAAAGGGGGGGGGGGCUGCUUGAAUGUUUUUUCUUAUAGACACACAUUUUCCCAUUUUUUAAUUUUCUUAAUCGUACUAAAUCUCAUCUUUUGAAUUCUCAUUUCAGCCCUCACUUGUGUAAACCAUAUGCAACAUUAUUUUUUUAAAAGUUCAAUAACAUAGAUGAGUUAGAGAUUCUACUAUGUAUGUAAUUAUAUGUAUGUAUUCUAUUAUUUUCCCUUUCUUUCUUUUUACUUAAAAAUUAUGUAAAAGAAAAAAAUACUGUAUUUCAAUUCUAAAUGGGUAGCGAUUUUAGUCUGUCAUAGUACAGAUUUACAGUACAUUAAUAAUGUUCAUAUUUCUUAUGGUAUAAGCUUCUAUGGACUCAAUGUAUUUGAUAAAGCAGACAGUACAAAACACUUACAUUUUAAUAAAAUUGUUUCCCAUUUUCAUUUUGUGCUUUCUAGAAAUCAAAUAGUAGGUGGACAUAAAUAGUUUGGCAAUGAGAAGAUGAACAGUGUUCAAAAGUGAGUGAUUUCUUAGUGUUAUGAUUCUUAGUCAUCUUUAUUCUCUUGACUAAAUAGAAAAUAAAUUUAACUGUGAGCCAUUGUAGUACAUAAAUCACAUGAAACGUUUAAAAUCAGCUUUACAACAAAUGUAGGUAACCUAUCAUGGUAUCUAUAAAAUCAAAUCAUAAACUUAAAGUUUCCCAUACAUCCUAUUGCCAAGCACUGAUAUGCAGACAUUCCGUUCCCUCACAAAUAUUUCUUACAUAAUCAAACUCUAAUAUGUAUGAAGUGAUGGUAGCUGGUAAAAACAGUUUUUAAGAAGAAAAUAUAUGUUACAGCAUUAAAAACAAUUGUUUUAUUGAAGCUGUUUUUAAAAAAUCAUGUGAGGCAAUAUAACAAUAAGAUCACAACUGGAAAGCAAGAACUGGCUUUAAAAAUAGACACAUUUAAACAAGAAAAACAUUUUACAAAAAAAA